GACGAACGCUGGCGGCGUGCUUAACACAUGCAAGUCGAACGGAAAGGCCCUGCUUGCAGGGUACUCGAGUGGCGAACGGGUGAGUAACACGUGGGUGAUCUGCCCUGCACUUCGGGAUAAGCCUGGGAAACUGGGUCUAAUACCGGAUAGGAGCCAUUUUUAGUGUGAUGGUUGGAAAGUUUUUUCGGUGUAGGAUGAGCUCGCGGCCUAUCAGCUUGUUGGUGGGGUAAUGGCCUACCAAGGCGGCGACGGGUAGCCGGCCUGAGAGGGUGGACGGCCACAUUGGGACUGAGAUACGGCCCAGACGCCUACGGGAGGCAGCAGUGGGGAAUAUUGCACAAUGGGCGCAAGCCUGAUGCAGCGACGCCGCGUGGGGGAUGACGGCCUUCGGGUUGUAAACUCCUUUCGCGAGGGACGAAGCUUUUUGUGACGGUACCUAGAGAAGAAGCACCGGCUAACUACGUG
RNAcentral lists this ribosomal RNA (465 nucleotides) under uncultured bacterium. RNAcentral describes it as "partial 16S ribosomal RNA". It matches the Rfam family "Bacterial small subunit ribosomal RNA", at positions 28 to 507 of the family's 1533-position model. The record is from RNAcentral.